GACGAACGCUGGCGGCGUGCUUAACACAUGCAAGUCGAACGGAAAGGCCCCCUUGUGGGGUACUCGAGUGGCGAACGGGUGAGUAACACGUGAGUAACCUACCCUUGACUUUGGGAUAACUUCAGGAAACUGGGGCUAAUACCGGAUAGGAGCUCCUGCUGCAUGGUGGGGGUUGGAAAGUUUCGGCGGUUGGGGAUGGACUCGCGGCUUAUCAGCUUGUUGGUGGGGUAGUGGCUCACCAAGGCUUUGACGGGUAGCCGGCCUGAGAGGGUGACCGGCCAAAUUGGGGGUGGAGUACGGCCCAGGUCCUGUGGGGGGGGCGGCGGGGGGGAUAUGUGCCAAAGGGCGGGAACCUGAGGGAGCAAACGCGGGGGGGGGAUUGAGGCCUUUGGGUUUUUAACCCCUUUUGCCCUGGGCAAAGGGGGGAGGGCUGGUAUUGGGAAAGAAGCCCCGGAUAACUACGG
RNAcentral lists this ribosomal RNA (464 nucleotides) under uncultured bacterium. Its description in RNAcentral is "partial 16S ribosomal RNA". It matches the Rfam family "Bacterial small subunit ribosomal RNA", at positions 28 to 506 of the family's 1533-position model. The record is from RNAcentral.